This 72-nucleotide transfer RNA is filed under the name Chelonia mydas (Green sea turtle). It matches the Rfam family "tRNA". From Rfam's summary of the family: Transfer RNA (tRNA) molecules are approximately 80 nucleotides in length. Their secondary structure includes four short double-helical elements and three loops (D, anti-codon, and T loops). The record is from Rfam by way of RNAcentral. Lineage: Eukaryota; Metazoa; Chordata; Testudines; Cheloniidae.
GCCUGGCUAGCUCACUUGGUAGUGCAUCAGACUUCAAUUUGAGGGUCCAGGGUUCAAGUCCCUGGUCAGGUG